Molecule: long non-coding RNA, 1380 nt
Filed under: Marmota monax (woodchuck)
Lineage: Eukaryota; Metazoa; Chordata; Mammalia; Rodentia; Sciuridae
Source: RNAcentral
CUGCAGCCAUGCUAAGCCAAGGAGCAACAUGCUCUGAUUACGUUUUAAAGAGCCCCUGGGCAGCCGCGUGGACAGUAAGAGGUAGGGUGGCCACUGCUUAUGUCAGUGCAGCUCUGCUGGAACCCCGGGGUGCCCGUGUUUCCGUGUCCUCUGAGGCUUCCUUUGCCCUGAGGCCCAGUUGGUUCAUUGCGACAGGGACUGUGCGGCCACCAGGCUGAGUACCUACCAUCUGGCCCUCACAGGGAAGGCUGGCUGCCCCUGCACCGAGGAGGCGUGGGCAAUGGGUGCAGUUUGAAUGGGGAGACACUGGGGCACCUUUUGGAGCUUCCGUCAACAGGACUGACGGGCAGCUUGGAUGUGGGGGAAAGGAAAGGAUGGAUUCGUGGGCCGGGCUCCUGUCCCGAGUGACGGCGGGCCAUGUGCUGAGAGGGAAGACGGCAUCUGGGCAGGAAAACCAAGAGGUCUUUCCUGGGCAUGCCUAAUGCCUUGGGGCCAGCAGGGCAGGGGGCAUCUUCCUGCACAGGGAUCCACUGGGCUCUGAGGCCCCUCGGGCCAUUCCGUGUCACCAUGAGGGUGCUCUGUAGGGGACCACCCUUUCCAUCCACAGGACAGGGUCCCUGGGAGAGGCAAGAGACAGAAGCUAAGAGGCUUCACAGCAGAAGAGGCAUCAGCUCUGACUUUGGCCGAAGGACCCACCGAUGGCGAGGGUAAUUAGGAGAGUUAGUGCUAGCGCCACGUCCAUGAGUGUCCACUUAACUGCUGAGUGGAGAGACCAUGGGCUCCCCUUUAGCCCCUAAAGUGGCCUCCCUCCCUGGGCUGGACACCUUUGUCUCCAAUGCCAACAUGGUCACCAAAGUGCUUGGGGUGACAUGGCAUGAGGGCACUGGCAAGACACGGUGGAGUCAUUCGCCCUUCCAGGUGUCCAGCGGAGCCUUGGACUGUGUUCACUGCUCCUUCAUUCUUUCCUGUCCUCCCUCUUCUCCCACCUUGAAGUGCCUCCCAAACCACCACCAGCCUCCCUCCUUCCAGCCUGGACCAACACACGAGCUCCUUGCUGGCCAUUCAUCACCUUGGCUGGACCUCAUGGGGCUUCCGGGAGGACCGUCCCAGGACACACAAUCCUGUGAUGGACCACAAUGUGGCAGGAACCGCAGCCCCCGUCCCCAGGGCAUGGCACACUCCCCGUCCUCCAGCUGUGGCUCACCAUAGGGCCACAGACCCUGGUCCUCGGGCCGUGGCUGCAAGCUGCAGAGGACCUGGCCUGGGCUAAUCAGAGAAUCCCCCUCCUCCCGGCCCAGAGCGUUCGUCAGCAGCUGGGCCACCAGGAGGCCAGGCUGGCCUUUCCAGCCAAUUGAGCUGACAGCUGAGAGAGACACAGGA